GGAAGAGCACCACAGCUUUGCUUUAGAUAAGUAAGUUAACUAUUUCCUUCAUAUUGUCUCACAAAAGCUAACUAUUUCCUCCAUUGCUUCUAAAGCAGGGCUGAAUUUGGAUCCAUGGUUAUGCUUAACAAACAACUUCUCAAGCUCCGAGGUGAGGAAAUACCAUGGUGUAAGAUAUUUGAUAGGAUAUCAAGAGGAGCCAAAAGAAGGGUCAUGGGCGUAAAGGAAACAAGAGUAACAGGGAAAGAAGAUAUGCAUAAGGUGGAGCAAUUGAUGGAGGUAUGGUCACGUGAGGGAUGUUGGAUUAGGUUCAUUGUAUCAACACAUUGUAUGUGUGGGUAUAUCCUCUUAGUGCCAGCUCAGCAGGUUUGUUGUGGGUAGCUUAUAUUAGACGUGCAGAUUGGGUAUUAGGGUUUAUGCUUUUGCUCAUUUGAAUGUGUAAGGAGAGGGGUGAGAGAGAAGCUCACAAUAAUCAACUUCUUGGGGUUGUAUUUGGUUUUCUGGAAAUCAAUACAACAUAUCGGUUCUUGUUCU
Molecule: long non-coding RNA, 534 nt
Organism: Tarenaya hassleriana
Lineage: Eukaryota; Viridiplantae; Streptophyta; Magnoliopsida; Brassicales; Cleomaceae
Exons: 2
Source: RefSeq, a predicted model, not a curated record